GCCUCAAUAGCUCAGUUGGUAGAGCUUCAGACCUUUAAUCUGAGGAUCCAACAUUCAAGUCCCUGUUCAGACA
RNAcentral lists this transfer RNA (73 nucleotides) under Alligator sinensis (Chinese alligator). It matches the Rfam family "tRNA". From Rfam's summary of the family: Transfer RNA (tRNA) molecules are approximately 80 nucleotides in length. Their secondary structure includes four short double-helical elements and three loops (D, anti-codon, and T loops). The record is from Rfam by way of RNAcentral. Lineage: Eukaryota; Metazoa; Chordata; Crocodylia; Alligatoridae.